GUAUAGCUUAAUGGUAGAGCAUUUACCUAGCAUGUAUAAGACUCUGGGUUCAAUUUUCAGUAC
RNAcentral lists this transfer RNA (63 nucleotides) under Neotoma lepida (desert woodrat). It matches the Rfam family "tRNA", at positions 5 to 66 of the family's 71-position model. Rfam says of the family: Transfer RNA (tRNA) molecules are approximately 80 nucleotides in length. Lineage: Eukaryota; Metazoa; Chordata; Mammalia; Rodentia; Cricetidae. The record is from Rfam by way of RNAcentral.